Molecule: long non-coding RNA, 369 nt
Organism: Empidonax traillii (willow flycatcher)
Lineage: Eukaryota; Metazoa; Chordata; Aves; Passeriformes; Tyrannidae
Exons: 2
Source: RefSeq, a predicted model, not a curated record
GAGACUGCAGUGGUACACAGCCCCAGGAUGCUCAUUCAGGGGCCAUGAACUGAGGUGCUGCAGUGGCCUGCAACUGAAGAAUGGAUUGACCCUGUAGUUCCUAAAGAAAUGCUUCCUGAAAGAAAGUUCUAAAAAUAUUAGAAAGUAUAUAAAUCAACCUUCUGGACCCAAAGAUGGUCUGGACAUGGAAAAAGAUAAAGUUCUCUUACUAAACAUUUCAAGAAGCGAUGCUGAGAGCUGCAAUGUCAGCUCAAUCAAAGCUCUGAUAUUUGCUGCUAUCUCCAUGCAUGUUUACAGCAGCUGACAUAUGAAAAGCCAGAGAAUAAUUCGAGUUUGCAAGCUAUGAGACAAGUCCAUUUUGGAUCUGAA